RNAcentral lists this ribosomal RNA (1353 nucleotides) under Triticum aestivum (bread wheat). RNAcentral's name for it is "partial small subunit ribosomal RNA". Lineage: Eukaryota; Viridiplantae; Streptophyta; Magnoliopsida; Poales; Poaceae. The record is from RNAcentral.
AUGGAGGCGAGGCCUCGGCCUUCCGGCGUGCGGAGGGUGACCGCCAAGAAGCGGCCGAGGCCGGAUGCGUCCUCCAACAGCGCGCGGAAGCUGCAGCGCCGGGAGAUUGCCGCAUUCCCCGAGCGCACCUUCGCCGCCAGCACCACGCGGGAGCGGUUCCGCAACAUCCAGCUCCAGGAAGAAUUUGAUACAUAUGAUCCUAAGGAGAACAGUUCGCUACUACCUUACUUGAGGAAGCGGUCUGAAAUUAUUGAGAUAGUUGGAGCCCGUGAUAUUAUCUUUGCUUUAUCACAGCUGGGAGUAUGUGCUGCAUUCAGUAGAGUGAAAAACCAGCGGAUUUGCUUUCUGAAUGGAAGUCCAGAUGAAGUCAUCCGUAGUUUGUUUUAUAACAAGAACAAUGACUCGCUUAUAACCGUAUCAGUUUAUGGUUCUGAAAAUUUCAGUGCUUUAAGAUGCAGGACAACUCGAAUCGAGUAUAUACGCCGUGGAAAGCCAGAUGCUGGUUUCCCUCUUUUUGAGACAGAAUCGUUGAGGUGGCCAGGUUUUGUGGAGUUUGAUGAUGUAAACGGAAAGGUGCUGACGUACUCUGCUCAAGACAGUACUUACAAGGUGUUUGACUUGAAGAACUACACACUUCUGUACACGAUAUCUGAUAAAGAUGUUCAAGAGAUAAAAAUCAGCCCUGGUAUAAUGCUAUUGAUAUACUCAAGAAAAAAGGGCUACAUUCCUCUUGAGAUUCUUUCUAUUGAAGAUGGUAAGCGCUUGAAGUCAUUCAGGCAUCUUCUUCACCGCAACAAGAAGAUUGAUUUCAUUGAGCAAUUCAAUGAAAAACUUCUAGUCAAGCAGGACGGGGAGAACCUUCAAAUUCUUGAUGUAACAAACUCUAAGAUAACAGAAGUGAGCAGCAAUGAGUUUGUGACUCCAUCAGCUUUUAUUUUUCUGUACGAGAUGCAGCUGUUCCUGACCUUCCGUAAUCGGUCGGUAUCAGUUUGGAAUUUCCGUGGUGAACUGGUGACAUCCUUUGAGGAUCAUUUGUUGUGGCAUCCUGAUUGCAAUACAAACAGUAUUUACAUAACUAGCAACCAAGACCUCAUUAUCUCUUACUGCAAAGCUGAACCGGAUGAUCCAUCUUCAGAGGACAAUGAUAAAGGCAGGGAACCUGUGCAAACAGAAGUCGUCGAAGUUCCUGUGUACGCCUCUGGAGGCCCUCGGCGACAUCACAUCUCUGUACUACGACGAAGAGCGCGAGGAGAUCAUCACCGGCAACCAUCAAGGCCUCAUCCAUGUGUGGUCAAAUUAACAGCUUGGUCCAGUGCAGGCAGGUUACAUCAGGCACCAGGGGAUCCUCGUUAG